CCAAUAGCGUAUAUUAAAGUUGUUGCAGUUAAAAAGCUCGUAGUUGAACUUCGGGGUUUACCCAUUGGUCAGGCUUAAUUGUCUGUACUGGUGUGUUGAAUCUCUACCUUCUGAGGAACCUUCAUGCCAUUUAUUUGGUGUGAUGGGAAAUCAGGACUGUUACUUUGAAAAAAUUAGAGUGUUUAAAGCAGGCUAACGUCUGAAUACAUUAGCAUGGAAUAAUGAAAUAGGACGGAUUGGUUCUAUUUCGUUGGUUUCUAGGAUCACCGUAAUGAUUAAUAGGGAUAGUUGGGGGCAUUAGUAUUCAAUUGUCAGAGGUGAAAUUCUUGGAUUUAUUGAAGACUAACUACUGCGAAAGCAUUUGCCAAGGAUGUUUUCAUUAAUCAAGAACGAAAGUUAGGGGAUCGAAGACGAUCAGAUACCGUCGUAGUCUUAACCAUAAACUAUGCCGACUAGGGAUCGGACGAAGUUAAUUUUAUAAUGACGCGUUCGGCACCUUACG
This 502-nucleotide ribosomal RNA is filed under the name uncultured Glomeromycotina. Its description in RNAcentral is "partial small subunit ribosomal RNA". It matches the Rfam family "Eukaryotic small subunit ribosomal RNA", at positions 591 to 1092 of the family's 1831-position model. Lineage: Eukaryota; Fungi; Glomeromycota. The record is from RNAcentral.